This is a long non-coding RNA of Lolium rigidum, 343 nucleotides long. RefSeq lists it as uncharacterized. NCBI's taxonomy places the organism in Eukaryota, Viridiplantae, Streptophyta, Magnoliopsida, Poales, Poaceae. The transcript has 4 exons. The record is from RefSeq and is a predicted model, not a curated record.
AGGAGCUGCUGGUGCUGGCCGUUCCUCGCCCGCUUGCCCAGCUACGUGUUGGAGUGGUGCAGCUAAUUGUUAAUUGAUGGGAGCGGUGGCCUCAGCCGGGACGUCUUGCAGCAGCAUGAGGAGCUACAGCAGGGCGAGCUCAAUAUCUUCCCACCCAUAGAUCAUCUAGGUGCAGGCAGGUUUUGGGAAGCUGCCAACUAACAUCUUGUAGCAGCUGAAAAUCUCAAGGAGGUCAAGCUGCUAGUCCUGUAGACGACACCGUCCAGGGGCUUGUCGGCAUCGGCUUCAAAGGAGGUCAAAGCUGCUAGUCCCGGAGACGCCACCGUCGGCGUCGGCUUUAAAG